AAGCAGAUAUAGCACUACUAAUAGUGUGAUAUCGUACUUUUUGUAGAACGGGCCGGCGAGUUACGAUGUGAUGCGAGGUUAAGUGAUGAAGUCACGGAGCCGAAGCGAAAGCGAGUUUGAAUAGAGCGAAUAGUAUCAUGUCGUAGACCCGAAACCGGGUGACCUAUCCAUGAGCAGGUUGAAGCAGCGGUAAAACGCUGUGGAGGACCGAACACACGCCUGUUGAAAUAGUCGGUGAUGACUUGUGGAUAGCGGAGAAAUUCCAAUCGAACCCGGAUAUAGCUGGUUCUCCCCGAAAUAGCUUUAGGGCUAGCGUUGUAUUAGAUUACCGGAGGUAAAGCACUGAAUGGGCUAGGGGCUGAGAAGUUACUGAACCCUAUCAAACUAAGAAUGCCGGAUAAUUGAUGUACAGCAGUCAGACUAUGUGAGAUAAGUCUCAUAGUCAAAAGGGAAACAGCCCAGACCCACAGCUAAGGUCCCAAAAUGGAUUUAAGUGGAAAAGGAUGUGGAAUUGCACAGACAACCAGGAUGUUGGCUUAGAAGCAGCCACUCAUUUAAAGAGUGCGUAAUAGCUCACUGGUCGAGUGAUUCUGCGCCGAAAAUUUCCGGGGCUAAAACUUACUACCGAAGCUACGGCAUCAUUAUGAUGGGUAGGGGAGCUUUCUAUACGGGUUGAAGCAUGACCGUAAGGACAUGUGGACUGUAUAGAAGUGAGAAUGUUGGCAUGAGUAGCGAGAUGUGGGUGAGAAUCCCACAGGCCGUAAACCCAAGGUUUCCAGGGGAAGGUUCGUCCGCCCUGGGUUAGUCAGGACCUAAGCCGAGGCCGAAAGGCGUAGGUGAUGGACAACAGGUUGAUAUUCCUGUACCACCAAUAACCGUUUGAGAAAUGGGAUGACACAGUAGGAUAAGCUAACCGCACUGUUGGUUAUGUGCGGGCAAGUAUUGAGGCAGUUCCGAUAGGCAAAUCCGUCGGAAUAAUGCUGGGGUACGAUGCGGAGCGAAAUUAAGUAGCGAAGUAGCUGAUUUCACACUGUCGAGAAAAGUCUCUAUCGAGGUUAAAGGUGCCUGUACCGCAAACCGACACAGGUGGGUGAGGAGAGUAUCCUAAGGCCAGCGAGAGAACUGUUGUUAAGGAACUCGGCAAAAUGACCCCGUAACUUAGGGAGAAGGGGUGCCUUCGAAAGAAGGCCGCAGAGAAUAGGCCCAAGCGACUGUUUACCAAAAACAUAGGUUUCUGCUAAGUCGCAAGACGAUGUAUAGGAGCUGACGCCUGCCCGGUGCUGGAAGGUUAAGGGGAUCUGUUAGAGCAAUCGAAGCAGUGAACUUAAGCCCCAGUAAACGGCGGCCGUAACUAUAACGGUCCUAAGGUAGCGAAAUUCCUUGUCGGGUAAGUUCCGACCCGCACGAAAGGCGUAACGAUUUGGGCACUGUCUCAACAACAGACUCGGUGAAAUUGUAAUACCGGUGAAGAUGCCGGUUACCUGCGACAGGACGGAAAGACCCCAUGGAGCUUUACUGUAGCUUGACAUUGAGUCUCGGUGCUACAUGUACAGGAUAGGUGGGAGACUAUGAAGCAUGGACGUCAGUCUGUGUGGAGUCAUCCUUGGGAUACCACCCUUGUAGUACUGGGAUUCUAACCAGAGGCCAUGAAUCUGGUCUUGGGACACUGUCAGGUGGACAGUUUGACUGGGGCGGUCGCCUCCCAAAAAGUAACGGAGGCGCUCAAAGGUUCUCUCAGUACGGUCGGAAAUCGUACGAAGAGUGUAAAGGCAAAAGAGAGCUUGAUUGCAAGACAUACAGGUCGAGCAAGGACGAAAGUCGGACUUAGUGAUCCGGUGGUUCCGCAUGGAAGGGCCAUCGCUCAACGGAUAAAAGCUACCCUGGGGAUAACAGGCUGAUCUCCCCCAA
Molecule: ribosomal RNA, 1908 nt
Filed under: human gut metagenome
Description: bacterial LSU rRNA
Rfam family: Bacterial large subunit ribosomal RNA
Source: RNAcentral